GGGGAUAUGGCGGAAUGGUAGACGCUGCGGACUUAAAAUCCGUUGAUUAUUGCAAUCGUGAGGGUUCAAGUCCCUCUAUCCCCA
This 84-nucleotide transfer RNA is filed under the name Jenufa perforata. Its description in RNAcentral is "tRNA-Leu". It matches the Rfam family "tRNA". From Rfam's summary of the family: Transfer RNA (tRNA) molecules are approximately 80 nucleotides in length. Lineage: Eukaryota; Viridiplantae; Chlorophyta; Chlorophyceae. The record is from RNAcentral. RNAcentral also lists the same sequence under 1 other name.